RNAcentral lists this ribosomal RNA (520 nucleotides) under uncultured Glomeromycotina. Its description in RNAcentral is "SSU rRNA". It matches the Rfam family "Eukaryotic small subunit ribosomal RNA", at positions 569 to 1091 of the family's 1831-position model. Lineage: Eukaryota; Fungi; Glomeromycota. The record is from RNAcentral.
AGCAGCCGCGGUAAUUCCAGCUCCAAUAGCGUAUAUUAAAGUUGUUGCAGUUAAAAAGCUCGUAGUUGAAUUUCGGGAUCAAGUCGUCGGUCGUGCCUCGGUACGCACUGGUGACAUUGGUUUCUCCCUUCUGAAGAACCUUGAUGUCAUUAAUUUGGUGUCUUGGGGAAUCAGGACUGUUACUUUGAAAAAAUUAGAGUGUUUAAAGCAGGCUCACGCUUGAAUACAUUAGCAUGGAAUAAUGAAAUAGGACGUUUGAUUCUAUUUUGUUGGUUUCUAGGAUCGACGUAAUGAUUAAUAGGGAUAGUUGGGGGCAUUAGUAUUCAAUUGUCAGAGGUGAAAUUCUUGGAUUUAUUGAAGACUAACUACUGCGAAAGCAUUUGCCAAGGAUGUUUUCAUUAAUCAAGAACGAAAGUUAGGGGAUCGAAGACGAUCAGAUACCGUCGUAGUCUUAACCAUAAACUAUGCCGACUAGGGAUCGGAUGAUGUUAAUUUUUAAUGGUCUCAUUCGGCGCCUUAA